Molecule: unclassified non-coding RNA, 219 nt
Filed under: plant metagenome
Description: partial contains small subunit ribosomal RNA, internal transcribed spacer 1, and 5.8S ribosomal RNA
Source: RNAcentral
UUUCCGUAGGUGAACCUGCGGAAGGAUCAUUACAGAGUUCAUGCCCUUACGGGUAGAUCUCCCACCCUUGAAUAUACUACCUUUGUUGCUUUGGCGGGCCGCUUCGUCCACCGGCUUCGGCUGGUGAGUGCCCGCCAGAGGACCCUAAACUCUGAAUUAUAGUGUCGUCUGAGUACUAUACAAUAGUUAAAACUUUCAACAACGGAUCUCUUGGUUCUG